GUGCAAUAAGGAGGAGGGCUGAAGUUUAGCAUUUUUUGCUAGGAUGAGAUUAAUCAAGGUAAGAAGGAGCAAUAUCAUCUCACAUAUCUGAAUGAAUAUCACCACCCAAAUUUCUAUGAGGUCCUCAAGAAUGAUCCACUCAUGUUCCAGGCAUCCAAUAUGAGAUUUAAUUAGGUAACAGAGCCUUCACCCAGGCCAGACUUAUGCUCAUAGCAGUCAGGUUUCCAGGAACCUAGAGAAGAGGCAAGUGGUCUUCUAGAGGGCAUGGGUGAAAUUUUUGUAAAACAACAGCAAAAGCUUUAAGACCAACUAACAACAGGAGAAAUUUGUAUAUUUGCAUCCUUCCUUUGUAUGAGUAGUGUACCACUGAGCACACACUAAGAUACCCAGAUUGUGCUCUGUCUGGAAAGCCUUGGUUAUUUCUGCUUUAUUAAUUAAGGAUUUUUCACAGUGCAAGAAUUUUAUAUGAUUUCUCAUCUCUCUGAUCUAUGUAUCUUUUGGACAUGCGCCACAAGCAUUUUUCUCUCCCUGGACUGGGUAAAGAAGCACAAAUGCAGAGUCUACAUUGUGCUUUGAAAAUAGAUGAAACUACUGGCCAUUCAUUUGCGCAAGUUAAUGGGUCAGCUGUUACUCAUCAACAGAGGCAAGGGUGGGACUAUAUAAGCCCGAUCAGACCAGCUAUGUAAGUUGAUGUCACUGUUGGGAAGACCUAGCUGUGAGUCACCAAACCAUGAUUUCUCCUUCAGAACACUGGACUGUCAGCUCUACACUACAGCGAAUGAGAUACAAGUCUCGUUGCCAGAUACAUCCAUCCGUGUGCUGCCACAAAGCAAGGCUCUUACAGUAUUGAAUUCCCACAGGUGGCAUUCCCCCACAUUUACCUCUUUUGCAGAAGACACUGCAGUUUCAAGGAGCCAGCCCAUGAGGACUUACCAUUCACUAAAUAUUGUGUCUGCAUGAUGAAGGCACUGCAUAAAAACACCAGGGGACGGAUGCAAACAAUGUGCUGGUGAGAGUGACAAUAAAACAGAGAUGACAGCAUAAAGAGAGAAUGAUGAAUGUGUUAACACAGCUGGUGAUUUCUCUAAGCAGCUCAGAACUGCUGUCAGAAUUGUUGAAACCUGCCAGAAUUUUUUUUCUUCUUUUCUUCCCAAACACCUCCAGAGACUGAGAAUUCUCCUCCUCUACUGCAUUCUGCUUUGUAUCUAUCUUGAAUUACUCUAUUUUGUAUUAGUUUAGAUUUAAAGGUCCAAUUUCUCUUAUCUAUCAAGGAUGAGAAAAACAGAGGAAUUGAGGCUGUUAUUAUAUGAAAAACUGGCAUUAAUGUAACAGACUGAUUUAUUAAAAAUGGUGUUCCUAAACAGUUGAAAGAUGCUAGUCUAUAAAAGAAAGUUACAAUUUUUUUUGUUUAAAUCUUGAUUUUCAUUUCAAAAGAUUAAUAACAAUAAAUCUAUUGAAGUUACAUAGUUUUUAAUAAUGGCUGCCUGCCCAGGAUUAGUCUCUAAAACUGUUGUUUUUCAACAGUUGAACCAGCAAAGAUGAAAAACCAAUUGACUAUAGUAGGUUUUAUGUUGGGCCCUUAGAUGUAAACAGGUCUACAUAAUUUUAUUCUAUUGCUUGUUAGCACUCUCAUGUUUCACCUCUUAUGGUUGCUCAAUGAGUGGUUCUUUUAAAAACCUUUCUCUUUAUGUCAUUAUUUUCCACGGAGUAAUAUUAGAGAUGUAGAGAUCCCUGAUUGCCUUUUUCAAAAUACAUGUCAUGUACUUGAAGUAUUUGUUUGAUAUUGAAUGGAACACAGCAGCACUACUUAGAAAUCCUGGAGAAGAACUGAAGGACACCAAUUUCUUGUGAUGCUAUUAGCAGCUUUUAGAGAGAUUACUCAAAGAGGAAGAAAAAAUUACCAAACUAAACCCUAUGGCAGAUGCCUACGCACAAAUUAGGCAAAACUUGCUGUGACAGUUUCCGGAUUGCUGAAUGAUUUUCAGGGCUGUAGAGUUAUGUUUUAUGUUUUCCCUCACAAACAACAUUUUUAAUAUUGUAGGUCAAAGUGUCAGCGGUCAGUGGCAUUUGUUUGUUAGCAGUGAUUCAGUAGACAAACUCGGCUUGAUGAGUCAUUAGUGAGGGAUAUCAUAUUUACACAAAAUCGCUUGGCUGAAACCAUCAGUCCGAGAGAUUAAAACUAGGCAUUAAUCACCUGUAAGGCUAAGCAUGAGCCUGAAAAAUAGCCUGAAAAACACCAGAAUUUGUGUAUUACAGCAUGAAUGGAGGUUUCAGAAUACUAGUCAUAAAGGAUUACUCUACACAGGAAAAUGUUUGUCUUGGAGACUUUUUUAUUGACCUGUGAUAUGCUUUUGGUUUGAAAGACGUGUUAAACAAAGAAAGCUCCAGUCUUUCAAAACUCUCACAGCUCUAUAAAUAACUCCACAUAAAAUGUACAGUAUGUAUAAACAGCAUGACAAAGAUUUUCUGACAGGAUUUUCUCUACGGUAAAAAAGUGAAGUCAAAACAUCCCAUUGAAGGCUGCUAUUUUGAAGAAUUCCUGAGAACACAAGUGCUUACGAGCUGGCAAACUCUCCAUGAGUGAGAGUGAGUACAAACAAUGAACUUCUAUGAGACUGUAGCCAUUCCAUCAAGAUCUAAAUGCAGCUUGAAUGGACCUUAGCCAAGAAGCGUCUGCUCAGCAUUUAGUAAAGCUUCAGCUAAGGGAACCACAGAAAAAAAUCCAAACUGUUCCUGCAGUAAAACUAUCUGCCAGCAACAUUUUUGAGAGUUCACCAUCUGGGUCCUGCAGGUAUCAAUCAGACUCAAUGUGUCACUCCAGCUGUCCUUCAAGGCUCCUCAUGGUCAAGGUAGAGCAGUUUUGAGAAAAUAAAACACAAAAACUGAGAGAGCACAAAGAGCUGUUGAAAGCUUGAAUAAGUCAGGGGGCAAAAAACUCACAAAUAUUAAAAGACACUCAAUUGCUUCAUUACAGCAUUCAGAUUGACCACUUGCAUGUCUGAAAUUACCCAUUUUCCAUACUACAUAUUAAUAUUUUCUUUUAACAUUCUGUUUUAGUGGAUUUGGGGUUGUUUUAUAAAUGCAUGCACAAGUCCCUUUUACUUUUGUGGGAAAUUAAUCCACAAAAAACAGGUCUUUAAGUUCAUUUUCUACAGGUUAAUGUGUAAGAGCUCUAGACUGGCUCUUACUGUCACUAGUAGUGGAGAUUUUGACUGGAGGUAAACUCUGAAAGAGUCUGCCAUUGUGAAUCUCCCACCUGACUGAAAAUUAAGGUCUUUAAAAUAUGUGUGCAUGGUUGGAAAGAUUCCUUUGGAAAUGGAAAUAAGUAGUAGCUUGUACAGGAAAUGAGACAGGAAAGUUGAUAUGUGGUAGGAAUUUCAGAAGAGGUAGGAACAGUUAUUGAAUUGGCAGUUUAAUAUCUAUAAGCAAACAAAAAUAGAGGGAAGGUAGAACUAGAGAGGCAAGAAGCUGAUGGUUGAAAUAGCAAAUCUAACAUUCUGAGUUGAGUGUAUUCAAAUGUAGACAGUCAGAAAUAGAAGCCAGAACCAUAAGUAGGGCUUUGAAAAUUUAGGGAGAAAAAAAGUUACUUGAUUUAGUAAACUUGGGAAACCAGAUAAAAAUUUCAGCAACAGAAGUGGAAAGCUGAACAGGCAAGGAAAUUAAUGGAUUUCUGCUGCAUUUUUCACACGGAAUUACAGGGGAAUAAAGCAGGUUUUCCGUCCAAAUAUGGUUGUUUGCUUUUUCUAUCUAUGUUACCUUGCAAAAGACCUCCAAUAUUUCUUACACACUUUUAGGAUGUUUCAAAUGCCUGUGUGGUGAAGACACUUUUGUUUGAUUUUUUUUUGUUCGUUUUUAAAUAGUUGGCUUUGCUUUAUCAAUGGCUUUAAUAAAACAUACGUAUUGGCAUCCAAGGUUUGUUUUAAUGUACAAUUUAGAUGCAAUCAUCUCUGUAUGAUGGCUUUACUUAAUGUCCAACUAUAAAUAAUCUUGGCCUGGAGCAGAUAAAAAGUGUUCUGUAGAAAUAAAAAUAAAAUCAUGAGUA
Molecule: long non-coding RNA, 4042 nt
Organism: Pseudopipra pipra
Lineage: Eukaryota; Metazoa; Chordata; Aves; Passeriformes; Pipridae
Exons: 4
Source: RefSeq, a predicted model, not a curated record